This 98-nucleotide microRNA precursor is filed under the name Dasypus novemcinctus (nine-banded armadillo). Its description in RNAcentral is "miRNA (ENSDNOG00000030930.1)". It matches the Rfam family "mir-544 microRNA precursor family". Lineage: Eukaryota; Metazoa; Chordata; Mammalia; Cingulata; Dasypodidae. The record is from RNAcentral.
AUCACCUGGGGACCUUGUUAAAAUACAGACUCUGGUUCUGAAGUCUAGGAUGGGGCCUGGGAUUCUGCAUUUCUAACAAGCUUUCAGUUGAUGCUAAU